Molecule: long non-coding RNA, 3385 nt
Organism: Fukomys damarensis (Damara mole-rat)
Lineage: Eukaryota; Metazoa; Chordata; Mammalia; Rodentia; Bathyergidae
Source: Ensembl
GGGCACUUGGUAAAAUUUAGGCAGGAUCCAUUUCUUCCCUUUUGGAGGCAAAAAGAUACAGGCUCCUACUUAUCUGCUAAGCUCAAUAUAUAAGAUAUAUGCGCGUAUAUAUUUUAGUGGCGACAUUUCCACAUCGACCACUGCCCCAAAGCACCGGCGCCGGCGCCGGAUAAUCGAGGGCUGGCACCCAAUCUCCACAUGCACAUCCUGGGCGGCGCAAAAGUUUGAGGUACACAAGGGGGAUCAGUAACAGGAAGUUACCGCCAUCUACAGAUCUCCUCUCACUGCUCAAAGCCGGAGCCAAGGGUUUCUGCUCAAAAAACAGACACUGGCAAAACGGCCAUCAGCCGCUGCGACGCCUUUCGCUCCGGGCGACGCACGCGCUUGAGGGACCUGUGCCAAGCCAGGGGCUCGCUCACCACCUCUCCGCCAGCUGGGCCCGAGGGUCCCCGGCCAGGGCGGCUGGCCGGGAGUCAAGGACGGGCACCGAGCAACUCCCUCAGCCCAUCGCUUCCAGCGCGGACACUCUGGAGGCAAAGGCAGGCGCGCGAUGCCACCCGUUUUCGUUUUCCUUGCCAUUAAGCACUUUCCCCGGGCAGGCUUCGCGCGGAGUUAGGCUAGUCCUUCGUCUCCUGCAAGAGGCAUCUGCACUGGGGAAUGCGCUGCCUGCAAUCCUGACACCUUCCCCAUCGCACCUCUGCCCGCCCAGGCUGCCCUGUCCCUCUGGACGGCAGGGGCAAGUAAGCUGAGAGGCUGUGACCCACGAGAGCCCCAGGCUGUGCGUGGAGACCUAACCCUGGACUCUUCCAGGAGAUUUUCCUUCUCACAACUCAAGGACUGCCUCCUCCAGGAAGGAAAGUUUGGGUGCUAUACCAAACCAUAUAUAGCCACCUCUGCAGACUGUCAGAGACCCCAGAGGAAGGGCAGCAUGGGGAGAAGGUGCAUUGCACCUUAGGAUACAGGUCCUGGGAAGGACGUGCGCCCUCCCUCACAUCCCCAGCCCUGGGCUUUCCUCCUCCUGGGGUCCUGUGGAGAAGUGCAGGGAGGCAACUCAUGCAAGGGGCUACCCUGGCUUCUGGUGGCCCCAGGGUUGUCUGCUGUUAUCUGCCCUCCGGCCCUAGCAGCAAAACGAAACUCCUUUUGGUUGGGUAUCUUGUCCUCCCCAAGGCCCCCUGAACAACACAUACACUUGACCACAAGCCAGGUAGCUGCAUCUCAGCCUUUCCAGGAUCCAAACCCUCUCCAGACUCGGUGUUUCCCUUUGGAUUGGGGAAUGUGGUUACUGUACUGCCAGACUUGGGUGUUUUGGAGGUUCUAGGAGCUAGCUUCAGUAAUAGCAGUGAUUAAUCAGACUAUAAAUAUACAGCCUCAUCCCUCCCAGAAAACCCAGUCGAGUGGGCAGCUGGCCACUGUCCUUUGCGUGGAUUCUCUCUCUCGGGCACCUGUGCAGGUCUUUCUGGGUGGGAAGAGUUGUGCAUUUCCAGUCCUUUCCCUGCUACCAACAAAUAGUAUUCAUCCCUCCAACUCUGUUUCCUAGCAGCUUGUACUGAUAAACGUCUGCCCACACAAGAAGCCAGAAAGUCUACUAAUAAUAAUAAUUUGUAACUUAAGUGUGUAGGGAUAAGAGCUGCAAGACUUUGGAGAGAAAAAUCUUAACUACACUUCCUUCUUUCCAGAAAGUUGCCUAUUGUAAUACUCACAUUCAUAUCACGUACAUGUUCUCCUUAUAUUUGGUGGGGCUGUUGGGAGACCUUUAGGAGAUUUUGUUAAAUUAUGAUGGCAGAAUUGACUUAGACUGCACAUGAAGACUUUACGCAUGAUGCUUACAGGACUCCUUUUUUUAACUCUCAUUCCCUCAUUAGUUUAUUCAGCAGAUAUUUAUUUGUGCCUGUGAGGGACCAGAUGCGUAGGGACAAAGGAUUCUAGAACCUUUGACAGAGUUCCCAGUGUCUUUGAAAAGCAGGACUACACAAAUAAAAACAGAAACACCAACGCUCCUUGCCUCCUCCCUUCUCCCUUUCAGUUUAAGUGGUGUAAUGGGUAGACAAAGGUCUUAGGAAGAAUAUGAUAUAAACAGUAAGGUGAUGUUGGGCUUCUCAGAGGUUGGUUGGAAUUUUGUUUUUUGGGGGAGUGCUUAUUUUUAUGGGGGGCCCUGGGAAUGUUUUUUGUGUAAUACAAAAUAUAUGUGAACUAGUAUAAUGGCAUUGUUAUUCUAUUAGGUUUUAGAAUCAAGGAGACCUAGUAUGCCUUUUAAAAUUCCACAGCAGUUUCUAUCUCAAUGGGGUGGGAGACAGAGAGAAGCAAUAACUCCAAAACAGCAUGGAGUAAAGUGAAGAAUGCCCUUUAGUACCCAGCCAGGAGGAUGAAAUAGAUACUCAAGUCCCUAAAACGACCUCAAGGAGUCCUCAAGUUUAUUUCUGCACUUUUGGGUAGGAAGGUUGUCAUGCAAGAAUAAGGCAUGGGGAGCAAGGGGUUCGCCCAUAUAUUUAUUCUGUCCAUUUAUUUGUGACAAGAUACGCACCUCUGACUGGGCCAGAGGGAAUGCAGAAGUGAGCAUUAAGGAGAAUCUGUUUUCCCUGCGACGCUAGAGGGCAGCCCUCCAUCCGCAAAGCGGCAGACAGGACUGGCUCUGGUGUGUCCCUGAGUGUGUGGUUCUGCUAGCAUCACCUUGGACUUCUUAACAGUUUUUGAACAAGAGUUCCUGCGUUCUCACUUUGCCCGGCCCUGCAAAUUAAAAAGCCAGCAUGCUACACUGACACACCCCCAUAAACCACCACCUGCAGAGCCUGUGGUCUUGGGAUGCCAGCCUGCAGACGGGGCUUCCUCUGCCACCUAGACCCUCCCAGGAUGAUCCCCUUUCAUGGACUUCUCAUGCACUGGACACACCACAUUGACUAUAAAUCUAGAUGAUCACACUCUAGGGCAGGUUUAUGCAUCAGUGGGUUUUGCUAUUAAAAAUAACCCCUCUCCUAGUUCCCAUUUCAAAGCCAGCUAGAUUAGCUUGGUCAAUAAGGAUGCUGUCAUGUUCCUCCCAACGUCCACGGGGCCCUGAUUGAUUAAAUAAAGGUGGGCCACCAAACCACACCAAGGACAGAGUCGAACAUGUGCCAGCCAACUGGGCAUGUCAGAGUGCUUAGCCCUGAGAGUCGCUCUGUGUAUUCAUUUUUCUCUCUGGCAAACGUAUUACUAAAAUUUAUAUAAUAAAGUAUGAACACUAUGUCAACAGAUUCAUUAUCACCAUGAAAUAUGUUUUGUGUGCUCAGAUAACAUUUACAUUUUUAUUGAACCAAAGUCUAAGAACACAGAAUCCACCCAACCAAAGCUAGCUGUGGCUCCUAAAAGUCAAGUUAACUCUUUCAGCUCAUUCACAAGCCCUUUCCCAGCU